RNAcentral lists this ribosomal RNA (468 nucleotides) under uncultured bacterium. RNAcentral describes it as "partial 16S ribosomal RNA". It matches the Rfam family "Bacterial small subunit ribosomal RNA", at positions 28 to 507 of the family's 1533-position model. The record is from RNAcentral.
GACGAACGCUGGCGGCGUGCUUAACACAUGCAAGUCGAACGGAAAGGCCCUGCUUUUGUGGGGUGCUCGAGUGGCGAACGGGUGAGUAACACGUGAGUAACCUGCCUUUGACUUUGGGAUAACUUCAGGAAACUGGGGCUAAUACCGGAUAGGAGCUCCUGCUGCAUGGUGGGGGUUGGAAAGUUUCGGCGGUUGGGGAUGGACUCGCGGCUUAUCAGCUUGUUGGUGGGGUAGUGGCUUACCAAGGCUUUGACGGGUAGCCGGCCUGAGAGGGUGACCGGCCACAUUGGGACUGAGAUACGGCCCAGACUCCUACGGGGGGCAGCAGUGGGGAAUAUUGCACAAUGGGCGGAAGCCUGAUGCAGCAACGCCGCGUGCGGGAUGACGGCCUUCGGGUUGUAAACCGCUUUCGCCUGUGACGAAGCGUGAGUGACGGUAAUGGGUAAAGAAGCACCGGCUAACUACGUG